CAUUACUAUCAGUAUCACACUAUCACAGUAUCACGACACUUGCCUUAUAUUUAAAUAACCGGAUUUCCGAUUUAUUAGCAUUUAAAAUUGUAUUAAAUAAUUAUAAUAUAAUAUUUUUUAUUACAUUAAUUUAAUUUAACACAUAAUGUCUUUAAUUUCAAAUGAACAAUUGUGAAAACCAGUUUUGUUUGUAAAGGAUUUGUAGUUUAAUCAUUGGAAAGAGAAGAAUUAAACGCUAUGUCCAACAUAGAGGGUCAAAAACUAAUAUGAACAAAACAAUAAUAACAAAGUAUUACUGCCAUCGGUCUGGAGUAUUUAAGUCUAAAAUCUAAAGGAAAAGGAGAAUGUUCAUUAGAUAACUGGAUCUUGCAAAAUUGAAAAAACUAAUGGUAGAAGUUUAUACAACACAUUGUUUUAUAGUUUUUUAUUUUUAAAUUUAGUUUUAUGCUGCCCUUCUUUUAUAAAAACUGUUGCUGAACUGAUGAAUAUGGAUGUAACAUAUUGUAAAACUCACCUACAAUUAAUAUUCAAUAUUCAAUUACUCAAAUAUUAAAGAACUAAAUUUUAUUUUGAAAUUAUACCUAUAUAUGUACUUAUAAUUAUAUUUAUAGGUAAAAUUGAUAGUGGAAUCCCGCCAAAUGUCAUAAUUGAUCAGUUCCGCAAUAAAACUGAUUAUAAUAUUGAAAAAAAAAUAUAAUUACAAGGAAAGACAUAUAUUUUUUAGAAGUUUUUCAUAAAACUUUGAAGUAUGUCUAUUUAAAAGGAAAAAAAUCAACAGCUCGUUGCUUUAUUAUGGCAUUUACUAAAAGUAGUGAGAGAUGAAAAUUUUGAACAUAUUAUUAAGUUAUGUAAUGGUGGUAAAGUUACUCAUUUUGUAAAUGCUAUUAACAGUUGACAUCGCUCUGCUCUACCAACUAAUUACAAAGUUAUUAAAAUAUCAGGUGAUACUUGGUCGGUGGCAUCUAAUUCAUUAGAAUUAGAUUAUUUAAUUAAACAGAAUGAACCAUGCUCGUGUAAGGUAAUUUGUAUUGUGUGCAAAUGUGUCCAUUUGUUUUCAUGCACAUGUUAUGACUAUAGUAUCAAAAACAACAUAUGUAAGCAUAUACAUGCCGUUUAAAUGAAUUCAAUGGUAAAUAAUAAAGAUGUAAAUAUGGAUGUAAUAUGCAAUCAUUGCAAUCAGAUAGAAAAUGAUGCAUGCAAAUGCCUGCUGCACCACAGCUUACUAUACCAUCCAGUGAUUCCAUUGCUGAUAAAAUUCACCAAUUGUAUAAUAUGUUUGUGCCACAAGCAGGUACACUCGAUAAUCAACAACUCCAAAAACUAAACACAGCAGUAGAUUCAAGUUUAAAAGUUCUAUAUCAACAAGAAAGCAACUUUAUAAAAGAUGUAGAGAAUCGAGAACCAGCCGACAAAAAUGUAGACAAAUAAGUAAUAACUACGGUUUUAUUCUACAUUUGUAUUGUUAGUGGUGACUAUGAACUAAUAAAUAAAAACAUUGAGACGUUUAUACUUAAACUGUAAAGUACAAUUUUUCCAAACCAAUUCGAUGAAUUUUAAUAAACUAACAAAUAAUUAUCACUGCAAAAUUAAAAAUCAAAUUUAAAAUGUAAUAAAAAUAAAAAUUUUAUUUUGCAUCUUUUAAAAUUUAAAAUGCAUAUAAAAUAUAAAUCGGAAAUCCGGUCUUUAGUGAUAAGGCAAGUGUCGUGAUAGUGUGAUACUGAUAGACGAUGGUAAUAAGUUAUUACUAAUAAAGUAAUAACUAAUAGUGCUGAUGAGAGGCGCUGUCUCCAGACGCUCGUUUGCAAAACCUGAUCCGUUUGAGCUUUUUGAAGCAUCUGUAUAAAUUAGCGUGUGGUCGCGGUAAUGUAAAUCAAUUAAUUCGUGAAAAUGAGAUACAAAGAUUGAGUUUUCCCUUGACUCUUGAGUUUUUGUAAAACUUGAGAAGUUCAGUAUCUAUUUAUAUUUGGCCUAUUUGGGGACCAAGUCCUAGGUUCAAGUGAGGGAAUGAAGAUUUUGUAGAUUGUAUCUAUAUUCAGAUUGAUAUUCUUCUUGAUUCGGUUGAAGUUUUCAUAGAUCAUGUUGGGUGUUUUUGCUCUAGAGUUUAGGUCGUUUAGGAAGGGAUGAUGAAAUUUGGAGGCAGAUAUAUGGUUAGACAGGUUUGAUGUCUUGAUCAUAUAUUUAUUAUAAUAUUAUAAACUAGGUAAGUAUACAAAUAAAUAACAACUAUUAUUGUACAAUAAAUUAUAAACGUAUUAAAAUAAGUGAUAAUAGUACGACUGUUGUCUAUUUAAACUUUAAAAUAAUGAAAAUGAAAUUCGUUUACAAUGGUGAUUAUGUAGAUAUAUUAGAUACAGGUAGGUAAAAUAUCAAAUAAUUAAAAUAACUUCGAUAUUUUUAAAUAUUUAAAACUAUUUACAAGUUUAUAUACAAUAUACAAUGAUUACAAAUACCUAACAGUAAUUUAAAAUGAGUUAAUAGCGAUGUAUGAUGUAUAUUGAUGUGGAAAUUAUUUUUGCCAGGUAGUAAUAUACAUACCUAAAUAAGUACGAGGUAUUAGGGUAUUAGGUAUUAGGUACGUCGUGAUCGUAUGUAUAUGAAAUAUUUUUUUUUCCUUUUUUUUUUGUUAUUUCGAUAUAGAAUAAUGAUUUAUUUUGAUCAUAGUACCGUGUAGCAGUUUUUUUUUCAUCGUGUUUCUGCUAUAGAUUGAAAUUUAAUAAUAUAUAAUUAUUAUUAUUGAAAAAAAAUAUUGAUAUUUUGAAGCAUGACGAAAAAGUUUGUUUAGAAUAGUAGUUAUUGCGGGCUAGCUAUACGAAUAAUUAUGGAAUUUCGUUUCUAAAUCGGGCAAUCAAUAGUAAUGGAAAAAAUUUAGAGCUGGAUGCUGGAUAUUGCAUGUUAUUCAGACUUUUCAGUUUCUACGAGACGUCGUGUGUUGA
Molecule: long non-coding RNA, 2933 nt
Organism: Myzus persicae (green peach aphid)
Lineage: Eukaryota; Metazoa; Arthropoda; Insecta; Hemiptera; Aphididae
Exons: 2
Source: RefSeq, a predicted model, not a curated record